GACGAACGCUGGCGGCGCGCCUUACGCAUGCAAGUCGCACGGACCUUCGGGUCAGUGGCGGACGGCUGAGUAACGCGUAGGUAACCUGUCCACUGGUGGGGGACAACUCGCCGAAAGGUGAGCUAAUACCGCAUGUGAUCACCGGGUGAGAUACCUGGUGAUGAAAGCAGCAAUGCGCCAGAGGAGGGGCCUGCGUCCUAUCAGGUAGUUGGUGGGUAACGGCCUACCAAGCCAAUGACGGGUAGCUGGUCUGAGAGGACGACCAGCCAGAAGGGGACUGAGACACGGCCCCUACACCUACGGGUGGCUG
Molecule: ribosomal RNA, 310 nt
Filed under: uncultured Chloroflexota bacterium
Lineage: Bacteria; Bacillati; Chloroflexota
Description: bacterial SSU rRNA
Rfam family: Bacterial small subunit ribosomal RNA
Source: RNAcentral